CCUACGGGUGGCUGCAGUGGGGAAUAUUGGACAAUGGGCGAAAGCCUGAUCCAGCCAUGCCGCGUGUGUGAAGAAGGCCUUCGGGUUGUAAAGCACUUUCAGUGGGGAAGAAAGCCUUGGGGCUAAUACCCUCGAGGAAGGACAUCACCCACAGAAGAAGCACCGGCUAACUCCGUGCCAGCAGCCGCGGUAAUACGGAGGGUGUGAGCGUUAAUCGGAAUUACUGGGCGUAAAGCGCGCGUAGGCGGUCUGAUAAGCCGGUUGUGAAAGCCCCGGGCUCAACCUGGGAACGGCAUCCGGAACUGUCAGGCUAGAGUGCAGGAGAGGAAGGUAGAAUUCCCGGUGUAGCGGUGAAAUGCGUAGAGAUCGGGAGGAAUACCAGUGGCGAAGGCGGCCUUCAGGACUGACACUGACGCUGAGGUGCGAAAGCGUGGGUAGCAAACAGGAUUAGAUACCCCAGUAGUC
RNAcentral lists this ribosomal RNA (465 nucleotides) under Vreelandella stevensii. RNAcentral describes it as "partial 16S ribosomal RNA". It matches the Rfam family "Bacterial small subunit ribosomal RNA", at positions 338 to 795 of the family's 1533-position model. Lineage: Bacteria; Pseudomonadati; Pseudomonadota; Gammaproteobacteria; Oceanospirillales; Halomonadaceae. The record is from RNAcentral.